UGUUGUCUAGACAGCAACUAUCUCUUAGAUAUUCCUUCAGUAACUCUAGGGUUUAUGAACUGUCCCCUAGUUCAGAGUAAACUGUCAUUUGGGAGUGAUAACAAGAGGAUAAAGACAUCACAGAUGGGGAGAAGGAAGCUGGACUUCUGUCUUGAGGCAGGCCAUGAAGAAAGGAUAGGAGUUUAAUAAGAAACUAUAUAAUUCUCAGAAAAGCAGAAGCUGUGUUUUGAAUAAAAGUCUUGGGAUUCGGCAGGAAGAUCCUACAAUAAGGAAGACACCAUCAGAGCUGCCCAUCCUCCCCAGCACUAAAGAAAGAAAAGAUUUACUUUGUCUGGGUUAUGGAGAUUUUCUUGUUGACUGGGCUCAUAGCUUCAGACCUGAAGAGAGGUAGACUAUGGAAAUGGGAGCUCCUUUUGGAGGAUUCUGCUUAUCUUGGAGUAAUUGGUAAAUACUGAGGAAGCCUAACAUGUUGGUCCACCAGCUUAUCCCUUGCUGAGAAUAAAGUCUCCUGGGAACUGGGUAAGAAGAGUAAGCAGGCAUGGCUAACAAGUCAAUCCAGUGAUAUCCCUGCUGAACCCCAUCAUGUAUAACUUAAGAACCAAGAAAUGAAGGCAGCACUGAGAAGAACUCUGGGUCCAAAGAAAAUUCUGAUAAUAAAUAUGCAAAUAAGGAUCCCAAAGUGCUCUUUCAAUAAAGUGCAAAAUCUGUGAAAGAAAGAAAAGAAAAACACUGUGCUCUUUCUUGCUGUCUUGAAAUUUAAGAAACAUAACGUUGUUUUAGCGUGUUCUUUAUUCAACACCAUGUUUAAUUGCAAACAAUUGUAAAGUAUGCUUCCUACUAAAUUACUUUAGUAGAUCAGUCCAGUACUUAAACGUUUUUAUCUGGGUAGAGUUUAAACCACGCUAAUG
Non-coding RNA from Rattus norvegicus (Norway rat), 908 nucleotides. Lineage: Eukaryota; Metazoa; Chordata; Mammalia; Rodentia; Muridae. The record is from RefSeq and is a predicted model, not a curated record.